GACGAACGCUGGCGGCGUGCCUAAUACAUGCAGGUAGAACGCUGAAGGAGGAGCUUGCUUCUCUGGAUGAGUUGCGAACGGGUGAGUAACGCGUAGGUAACCUGCCUGGUAGCGGGGGAUAACUAUUGGAAACGAUAGCUAAUACCGCAUAAUAUUGACUAUUGCAUGAUAGACAGUUGAAAGGUGCAACUGCACCACUACCAGAUGGACCUGCGUUGUAUUAGCUAGUUGGUGGGGUAACGGCUCACCAAGGCGACGAUACAUAGCCGACCUGAGAGGGGGAUCGGCCACACUGGGACUGAGACACGGCCCAGACUCCUACGGGAGGCAGCAGUAGGGAAUCUUCGGCAAUGGACGGAAGUCUGACCGAGCAACGCCGCGUGAGUGAAGAAGGUUUUCGGAUCGUAAAGCUCUGUUGUAAGAGAAGAACGAGUGUGAGAGUGGAAAGCUCACACUGUGACGGUAUCUUACCAGAAAGGGACGGCUAACUACGUG
Molecule: ribosomal RNA, 495 nt
Filed under: uncultured bacterium
Lineage: Bacteria
Description: partial 16S ribosomal RNA
Rfam family: Bacterial small subunit ribosomal RNA
Source: RNAcentral